CUUACUACACCAUAAAAACCAAUUAUACCAAGCAUGUUUCAUUAGAUAGACCAUCUAACAUUUCUGUUUUGUUUGAUUAAUCAUUCCUAAUGGGCUUUGCACAUUAUUUUUUCUAAGUGUUAUAUUUUUUAAAUUCUAUUUCAAACUUAAUUAUCUUUUUCAAUUAGAGCAUUCAUUUUUUUGUAUACACAAGUCCAAGUUCACUUUAUUUCAUUCUUCUAAAUAAUCAAAAUUUGUAUUCAUUGAAAUGUAUACUAAAGUAACUCAACAGUAUAACCAAAAUCAUACAUAAAAUAGUGUAAAUAUACUAUAAUGUUGCAAAGCAUAAGCCAAUAAAUACAGAAUAAAGGACUCUUUGUUUUUGAUACUGACUUUAUCACUGUGUUAUAUCAGGUGAGCCCGAACCUGAAAUUUCACAGUGAUAAAGUUAGUAUCAAAAACCAAAAGGUCCUUUAUUCUGUUUAUCGGUAAUUACGAAAAAAUAAAAAUAUUUACAAUAAAAAAGCAAAUAACAAACGAACUAUAUUGCGUCGAAUUACAGCGAUUCAUACUUGAUGUCACAGGCUGCAUUAUGUCAUUUGAAAUUUGGUCACAGUGUAGUAAUCAUAGCGUUCUUUGCACAAAAUAUUGAAAAUGAAAUAUUGCAUGUGUUUUAUUAAUUUUGUUUUGGACACUGUAACAAUUCCAAAUAUAAGCGGUUAGUCAUAUUAUUUCUAUUUUGUCACAAAGCACAGAAUGAUAGUGAUACGAUAUGAGACAUCAGAUUAGUUAUUGUUUUAGAAUUUCAACUUCAAGCUCAAUUUUUUUUUAUCAAUCUUUGGCUUAUGGACAAU
This 833-nucleotide long non-coding RNA is filed under the name Mytilus galloprovincialis (Mediterranean mussel). Lineage: Eukaryota; Metazoa; Mollusca; Bivalvia; Mytilida; Mytilidae. The record is from RNAcentral.